UAGAGAUUCAAUAACUUGCCCAAGGAAAUGCUGCUAGGACCAAAUGGACAUAUCAACAAAUCACUAUAGUGAGGUGUUUUAAAAGCAGAAUUAAAGUGUAAAGUAGAGGGAAAUUUCUCUGAUGCAGCAUUUACAUAAGAAACACAUUCAGAAAAAGAGGCUGUGAUUCUGAACGCGUCCUUAUUAUACUGCACUAAAAAUCUCCCUUGGGAUGAGGGAGGUUU
Molecule: long non-coding RNA, 224 nt
Filed under: Homo sapiens (human)
Lineage: Eukaryota; Metazoa; Chordata; Mammalia; Primates; Hominidae
Description: HSALNT0013196
Source: RNAcentral